This 475-nucleotide ribosomal RNA is filed under the name uncultured bacterium. RNAcentral describes it as "bacterial SSU rRNA". It matches the Rfam family "Bacterial small subunit ribosomal RNA", at positions 28 to 507 of the family's 1533-position model. The record is from RNAcentral.
GACGAACGCUGGCGGCGUGCCUAACACAUGCAAGUCGAGCGGAGAUGUAAUGAAGGUUUACCUGAGAUACAUCUUAGCGGCGGACGGGUGAGUAACGCGUGGGCAACCUACCUUCUACAGGGGGAUAACACAGGGAAACCUGUGCUAAUACCGCAUAACGUACCGAUAGGGCAUCCUGUUGGUACCAAAGGAGUAAUCCGGUAGAAGAUGGGCCCGCGUCCGAUUAGCUAGUUGGUGGGGUAACGGCUCACCAAGGCAACGAUCGGUAGCCGAACUGAGAGGUUGAUCGGCCACAUUGGGACUGAGACACGGCCCAGACUCCUACGGGAGGCAGCAGUGGGGAAUAUUGCGCAAUGGGGGGAACCCUGACGCAGCAACGCCGCGUGAAGGAAGAAGGUCUUCGGAUCGUAAACUUCUUUGAUGAGGGACGAAGGAAGUGACGGUACCUCAAAAACAAGCCACGGCUAACUACGUG